GCACUCUGGUCUCCCUUCAAAACGCAAAAAUCUUUCGCCUUUUACUAAAGAUUUCCGUGGAGGGGGACACAUUAUGAGUCUAACGACCAAUUUUUUGUGAGCCCUGCGAAAGCGGGGCC
This 119-nucleotide small nuclear RNA is filed under the name Thrips palmi. Its description in RNAcentral is "U5 spliceosomal RNA". It matches the Rfam family "U5 spliceosomal RNA". Rfam says of the family: U5 RNA is a component of both types of known spliceosome. Lineage: Eukaryota; Metazoa; Arthropoda; Insecta; Thysanoptera; Thripidae. The record is from Rfam by way of RNAcentral.